Aethina tumida (small hive beetle) is the source of this 437-nucleotide long non-coding RNA. RefSeq lists it as uncharacterized. The transcript is spliced from 2 exons. Lineage: Eukaryota; Metazoa; Arthropoda; Insecta; Coleoptera; Nitidulidae. The record is from RefSeq and is a predicted model, not a curated record.
AUUUGAAUGUCUGUGCCCUAUAUUCCCUGUAAUAUGUAUUUUUUAGUAUUUUUUUCAAUUAUAACAGUCUUUACGGUUCCAAGUAACUGCUGGCAGUAUAAUUAUCGUGAUGGUGGCACUUGUGAUGAUACUAAUUCAUACUUGGUUGUUGAUACAGAAAUCAGUGCGGGCUCAGGAAGUUUUAGGCGUUACGAGACGAUACGUUAUGAAGCGGUAGAAUAUGUAAAAUGUGUAGAUGCUGAAAAUCUUUGGAGAGAUAACACUGGUGGGGAAGUAUUACGAAUUGAUGGAGGUGUUGGGCAGAAAUUUAUAAAAUUAGAGUUUAAAACUCAGUUAUCAAGAGGAAUGAAAUUUCGACUAAGAAUAUGGGAACCAAAACCAAAACAUUAAUUAUUUAUUUACUUGAUUUCCAAAAUGUACAACUUAUUAAAUUAUAA